CGGGGCGUAGCGCAGUUUGGCUAGCGCGCUUGAAUGGGGUUCAAGAGGUCGCAGGUUCGAAUCCUGUCGCCCCGAC
RNAcentral lists this transfer RNA (76 nucleotides) under Kolteria novifilia. RNAcentral describes it as "Planctomycetes bacterium Pan216 tRNA-Pro". It matches the Rfam family "tRNA". Rfam says of the family: Transfer RNA (tRNA) molecules are approximately 80 nucleotides in length. Their secondary structure includes four short double-helical elements and three loops (D, anti-codon, and T loops). Lineage: Bacteria; Pseudomonadati; Planctomycetota; Planctomycetia; Kolteriales; Kolteriaceae. The record is from RNAcentral.